GAGGAAUAUUGGUCAAUGGUCGGAAGACUGAACCAGCCAUGCCGCGUGCAGGAAGAAUGCCUUAUGGGUUGUAAACUGCUUUUAUAUGGGAAGAAUAAGGUGUACGUGUACAUUGAUGACGGUACCAUAUGAAUAAGCAUCGGCUAACUCCGUGCCAGCAGCCGCGGUAAUACGGAGGAUGCGAGCGUUAUUCGGAAUCAUUGGGUUUAAAGGGUCUGUAGGCGGGCUAUUAAGUCAGGGGUGAAAGGUUUCAGCUUAACUGAGAAAUUGCCUUUGAUACUGGUAGUCUUGAAUAUCUGUGAAGUUCUUGGAAUGUGUAGUGUAGCGGUGAAAUGCUUAGAUAUUACACAGAACACCGAUUGCGGAGGCAGGGGACUAACAGACGAUUGACGCUGAGAGACGAAAGCGUGGGGAGCGAACAGGAUUAGAUACCCUGGUAGUCCACGCUGUAAACGAUGGAUACUAGCUGUUUGGAGAAAUUUGAGUGGCUAAGCGAAAGUGAUAAGUAUCCCACCUGGGGAGUACGCACGCAAGUGUG
RNAcentral lists this ribosomal RNA (538 nucleotides) under uncultured bacterium. Its description in RNAcentral is "bacterial SSU rRNA". It matches the Rfam family "Bacterial small subunit ribosomal RNA", at positions 356 to 896 of the family's 1533-position model. The record is from RNAcentral.